Molecule: RNA transcript, 334 nt
Organism: Arabidopsis thaliana (thale cress)
Lineage: Eukaryota; Viridiplantae; Streptophyta; Magnoliopsida; Brassicales; Brassicaceae
Exons: 2
Source: RefSeq
UUCCCUACGAUUGCGGCUUCUUACAAUCAUGUAAGAUUGGGCAAAAUCUGCAAAGAAGAACCAAUUAUAUGUUGAUGGGAGCUAAGAUCUAUUCAUACGAUAAAUCAUCAAUAUCUUUAUUGAUUAGGUAGGAGUUGUUUGUACGAAAUUGUAAAUCGAAGAACAUCCUCCAUUUCUUCAUAUCGUGCGAAGCAAUGGAAUUGAAAUUUCUAAUAUAAGGGAGGCUAGCUUGAUGAUAGACGGACCAAAAAGGAAUAUGUAAAUCCAAGAAGGGAUUGUUGCCACAAUGAAGAAAACAUCUGAAUUUGGUCGCCCUUAUACAUGAAAGCUAAGU